This is a non-coding RNA of Drosophila melanogaster (fruit fly), 1064 nucleotides long. NCBI's taxonomy places the organism in Eukaryota, Metazoa, Arthropoda, Insecta, Diptera, Drosophilidae. The record is from Ensembl.
AAUAUUUGCCAAUACUUCAACUGAAGUGAUCUAUCAGCUGAAAUAGAGAAAAAAAAAUGUUAGCAUUACCGUUUGCCAGCUUAGUUACUUUAUGUUUGGCGGCCUAGACAAAUUACCAGCUAUUUGCUUGAUGUUUAAAUGAAGUCGAGCUUGCGGGAGUUUCAAAUUUAAAUGCAACACAAGGUGAUUAACCACAAAGUGAAAUUUUCCAAUUUAUACGGACGCCAAUGCCAAAGCUUUUUGUGUUGGGCCGCCUUAUAAAUAGCCAUUUUAUAAUGAGCUUAACAACCGUAUGCAAAAUAAACCGAUGGUAUCUGCAAAUGAAAUCGGAAAAACAAAAAUAGAGAUACAGAUACGAGGACCAUUGACGAAGCUACGAUGAAUCUUUGAAUGAUUGCGAAACGGCGAUAAUAGGAGUAAAAGGAAAAGGAUAUUCGGUCUGUCGACUUGUCAAUCUGCGAUCGCAUUGACACUUGAAGUUUAUUAUCCGCUGACAUUUCAAUUCUGAUUGAAAAUGGUAUUCGGACGAGUAUGCGGAUGGUUGGAAAACAAAAGCCCAACUUUCGAUGGGAAUCUGCUUCGCCCGAUGGCUGAUAUUGAUUGAUCGUUGAUUUUUUAUUGAGUGAUUGAUACAAAAGAGAAAUAUAAGUGAGCCAAGCCAAAACAAUCGUUUCAAUUACAAUGGCCCCAACUGUAGAAACUGGAUAUGUAAUUCGAAGAAGUUCAAAGCCCCAUCUAGAUGAAGCAGCGCCCUCAAAAAUAUUAUUAGGCAAUGAAAUAUGGAUUUUCCAAGGUGUUUGCACGCUCGGCUUCAAAUCGACUCUGACUUCAACUUUGUCUGGAGUUCAACUUUGGCUCUCCUUCAGCUAAACAAAAAACGUAAUGUUCGCCUGCCGUUUCUCGGCUUCUUAUCAAGAUGCUUUCAAUGUUUCGUUUAGGAUUUUCAUUUGUAGCAUUUAGCUGCUCUAUAAAGAAAAAAGCCCAGGCGACUCCUCUUCUGGCAAUGUCAGUGCUAUAUGCCUGUGCCCAUAAAAAUAUAUAUACUACUUGUGGCCCGCUUUAGC